UUCUGUUUGUGAUAAGUAGAAGGGGACUUCUACUUGAAUACGUCGGUCGAAGGUUACUCAUUCGCCGCGUUGUACUACAAUUAUUUCAAACCGGCCACCUUACGUGCUCGUCCUUAGUGGCGGAUUGAGCAUUGAGGUGCUAUUUGAUUUCAAUAAUAUAGGGUUUUUUCCCCUUUCUAAAUUUUUGAUGUUAAUUGAAUAUAAUGAUAAAUAACAAAUUUAAUUCUGCAAUUAUGAAAUUGUGUAUAUUUGCCUAAGCGAAAUAUUUUCGCCUCAAUUUUUGUGCCGAAAUCAAGAUAAAAGUGUUGGAAAAUUAAAUUUGAAAACAGAGCCAACGCCUUGGGUUUAUGACGGAAAAUGAAAUUAAAUACCAGCAACUAAGCACCACCACACCCAGCGCAAUCAAACCCCAACGUAUUUUGGUGGCCUCAAUUGGCAACAGCUACCAUUACCGCCAGCAGUUUUGCAAGCGCCUCAACAUCGGACGAAGUGUUGCUGCUCGAUGACAAUAUCAUCGUAAGUCAAGCGUACUAUGCCAAUUCGCUACUCUUUGCUUUUGACUCAUCUCUGUUGAGAGACUUGCAUUGCUACAGAGAGAAGCAUUCAAGCAGAAUGUGUCACUGACACUGAAUAUCUCGACGGAGAAUCUGACGGAACUUCUAAAUACUGCACAGUUCAAUCAGAUCUUGGAAUUGCUACAGCAGCAGCUCCCGCUGUCCUCCUUGAUUAUGCUCACAGUGCUCUAUGUCAUCAUCUUCGUGCUGACCGUAUCGGAUUUGAUGUUGCUACUGUCAGGUGAAUUGCAUUUGUUACACAGACUUUUAAGUAAGGUUCCAAAAAUAUGCAUAUGAAAAUUUAGUAAAUAAUUCGAAAACAAAACAACGAACUAACACUAAAGCCCGAUUCUUUCAUUUUUCUUUUCAAUGACAGAUGGAAGAAAAUAUAGUUAUGUCUGAGAAGCGAUGAGUCACGAUUGUAAAAUAUUAUGUUUUUGAAUAAUUGAAAUUAUUGCUCAUGAGAUCAGAAACAUAACGAAAUAUUGUUCUUAAUAUGAGUGCCAUUGUAUAUUUCUCUAUAAAACUAUCUUGCUUUUUUUUUGUUUUCUGUGCUUUUAUUCAGGCACGCCGCAAGGUGGUCCUGUCUUCCUUACUCUUGAUUUUAGUGGUAUUGAAACCACUCGGGAGUCGAGACUGUCGGAUUAUAUCCUAUGUAUAUGAUGUUGUUCUUAUGGUUAAAAGAAAGGGAGUUAGCCGUCAUAAACAAAUAAAGCAGAUCUGGAUUUAUUUACCAUCAUUAGGAGCUAGAGGCUUCACUCUCUCGAAAAGAUGAAGUAUUUGGGCAAAAUCCUGAAACCAUACGCCUUAUAGGUCAGUGAGCUCUCUCUUGGAUGACCUACAGCUCAAGAGGAUGGUUAGAGGGGCAGUCUUAUAUCGGGAGUUCUCAAUCAACUCUCAGACUGUCAGAGUAGUGUAGCGUCUUAAAGCAGAAGUAGCAGCCAUAAAGAUAGCAGCAGAUGUACGAGUUCUACGAAGAGCGUUUUCUUUUAGAAAGAUGCACCACAUCUGUAUAUAUCUUCCUAUUUAACGGUCCAAUUAGCAUACUUGACAGUGUUUAAGCGGAGAUAGCCACCAAUGUAACCGUGCUGACAACAACGGCAUUUACCGUUGAACGCUACGUAGCGAUAUGCCAUUCAUUUCGAGGAGUAAAAGCUGGCGGGUAUUGAUUAACGGUUUCAUUACGCUUUCAAUUUCUGCUGACUUUUGUUAAUCAAGACAGUGUCCUCACAACAAUCAACAGCAGCGGUGGAAUGGACGGAGGCAUUCGUGAUUCAUUACAUAGUACAGAGUAUUCCUCUGCGGCUCGCAAUCCAUGCUGACAACAACCCUCACCAAAUGGAAUGAAAUAGUCGCAAAUCAAGUUAUUGGUAUGUCUGUUGUAACUGCAACCAAACAACAACAACAACCACACAGAUCACAUACUGCAAUCUCAACUGUCCCAACGGUCCAGAGCGGCGCAUAGUAAUAUCGUCUCGGUUAUCUGUAGUCUUCAGCCAUAAAUUGCAACCGAAUGUUUUAACAAUGAAACGAUUACCUUCUCACCACCAGCACCAACCAUACAACCGGUGAAGUAUAUUGUGAAAUUGGACGUGCAUGGACCGAACUUUCACGAAUAAUUAGUUGACGUAUAGAAAAGUUUGGACAGGACUUGUGAAAGCCUCUCUGCUUCCAAUUUGAAUGCGUAAACCAUGGUGCGGAGAACCAUAUAACUUCGAUGUCAGUUUCGCUAAAUAACGUGGAUCCACCAGCGUGCGGAAUCUGGAUUUGGAUGCAAAGUGCUGCAAAUAAAAAUGGAUAUCAUCGGAAAAUUGAAUAUGAAAGUUUAAGAAACUAAAAUGUGUUAUAAAAGA
This 2407-nucleotide long non-coding RNA is filed under the name Bactrocera tryoni. Its description in RNAcentral is "uncharacterized LOC120777307, transcript variant X3". The record is from RNAcentral. Lineage: Eukaryota; Metazoa; Arthropoda; Insecta; Diptera; Tephritidae.